AAAUUGAAGAGUUUGAUCAUGGCUCAGAUUGAACGCUGGCGGCAGGCCUAACACAUGCAAGUCGAACGGUAACAGGAAGAAGCUUGCUUCUUUGCUGACGAGUGGCGGACGGGUGAGUAAUGUCUGGGAAACUGCCUGAUGGAGGGGGAUAACUACUGGAAACGGUAGCUAAUACCGCAUAACGUCGCAAGACCAAAGAGGGGGACCUUCGGGCCUCUUGCCAUCGGAUGUGCCCAGAUGGGAUUAGCUAGUUGGUGAGGUAACGGCUCACCAAGGCGACGAUCCCUAGCUGGUCUGAGAGGAUGACCAGCCACACUGGAACUGAGACACGGUCCAGACUCCUACGGGAGGCAGCAGUGGGGAAUAUUGCACAAUGGGCGCAAGCCUGAUGCAGCCAUGCCGCGUGUAUGAAGAAGGCCUUCGGGUUGUAAAGUACUUUCAGCGGGGAGGAAGGGGGUAAAGUUAAUACCUUUGCUCAUUGACGUUACCCGCAGAAGAAGCACCGGCUAACUCCGUGCCAGCAGCCGCGGUAAUACGGAGGGUGCAAGCGUUAAUCGGAAUUACUGGGCGUAAAGCGCACGCAGGCGGUUUGUUAAGUCAGAUGUGAAAUCCCCGGGCUCAACCUGGGAACUGCAUCUGAUACUGGCAAGCUUGAGUCUCGUAGAGGGGGGUAGAAUUCCAGGUGUAGCGGUGAAAUGCGUAGAGAUCUGGAGGAAUACCGGUGGCGAAGGCGGCCCCCUGGACGAAGACUGACGCUCAGGUGCGAAAGCGUGGGGAGCAAACAGGAUUAGAUACCCUGGUAGUCCACGCCGUAAACGAUGUCGACUUGGAGGUUGUGCCCUUGAGGCGUGGCUUCCGGAGCUAACGCGUUAAGUCGACCGCCUGGGGAGUACGGCCGCAAGGUUAAAACUCAAAUGAAUUGACGGGGGCCCGCACAAGCGGUGGAGCAUGUGGUUUAAUUCGAUGCAACGCGAAGAACCUUACCUGGUCUUGACAUCCACGGAAGUUUUCAGAGAUGAGAAUGUGCCUUCGGGAACCGUGAGACAGGUGCUGCAUGGCUGUCGUCAGCUCGUGUUGUGAAAUGUUGGGUUAAGUCCCGCAACGAGCGCAACCCUUAUCCUUUGUUGCCAGCGGUUAGGCCGGGAACUCAAAGGAGACUGCCAGUGAUAAACUGGAGGAAGGUGGGGAUGACGUCAAGUCAUCAUGGCCCUUACGACCAGGGCUACACACGUGCUACAAUGGCGCAUACAAAGAGAAGCGACCUCGCGAGAGCAAGCGGACCUCAUAAAGUGCGUCGUAGUCCGGAUUGGAGUCUGCAACUCGACUCCAUGAAGUCGGAAUCGCUAGUAAUCGUGGAUCAGAAUGCCACGGUGAAUACGUUCCCGGGCCUUGUACACACCGCCCGUCACACCAUGGGAGUGGGUUGCAAAAGAAGUAGGUAGCUUAACCUUCGGGAGGGCGCUUACCACUUUGUGAUUCAUGACUGGGGUGAAGUCGUAACAAGGUAACCGUAGGGGAACCUGCGGUUGGAUCACCUCCUUA
Molecule: ribosomal RNA, 1542 nt
Filed under: Escherichia albertii
Lineage: Bacteria; Pseudomonadati; Pseudomonadota; Gammaproteobacteria; Enterobacterales; Enterobacteriaceae
Description: bacterial SSU rRNA
Rfam family: Bacterial small subunit ribosomal RNA
Source: RNAcentral